Molecule: ribosomal RNA, 476 nt
Filed under: Potamonautes sidneyi
Lineage: Eukaryota; Metazoa; Arthropoda; Malacostraca; Decapoda; Potamonautidae
Description: partial 16S ribosomal RNA
Rfam family: Archaeal large subunit ribosomal RNA
Source: RNAcentral
GGCCGCAGUAUUCUGACUGUGCAAAGGUAGCAUAAUCAUUAGGUUUUUAAUUGGAAUCUUGUAUGAAUGAUUGGACAAGAGAAAUACUGUCUUUGUAUUAAAACUUGAAUUUAACUUUUAAGUGAAAAGGCUUAAAUACACUAAAGGGACGAUAAGACCCUAUAAAACUUUACAUUUAUGUUAAAUUUUAUGGAAUUUGAAGAUUAUAAUUAUUAAAUUUAAUUUUUUGUUAUGUUGGGGAGACAAAAGCUAUAAUUAUAUAUAACUGCUUUUAAGGGAAACAAAAAUAAGUGAGGAAGGUCAGAGAUCCUUUAUUGAGAUUAUAAGAUUAAGUUACUUUAGGGAUAACAGCGUUAUUUUUUUUGAGAGUUCAUAUUGAAAAAAAAGAUUGCGACCUCGAUGUUGAAUUAAAAUAUCUUUAUAAUGCAGGUGUUAUAAAAGAAGGUCUGUUCGACCUUUAAUUUUUUACGUGAUCU